GGACGAACGCUGGCGGCGUGCUUACCCCAUGCAAGUCGAACAGAAAGGCCCUGCUUUUGUGGGGUGCUCGAGUGGCGAACGGGUGAGUAACACGUGAGUAACCUGCCCUUGACUUUGGGAUAACUUCAGGAAACUGGGGCUAAUACCGGAUAGGAGCUCCUGCUGCUUGGUGGGGGUUGGAAAGUUUCGGCGGUUGGGGAUGGACUCGCGGCUUAUCAGCUUGUUGGUGGGGUAGUGGCUUACCAAGGCUUUGACGGGUAGCCGGCCUGAGAGGGUGACCGGCCACAUUGGGACUGAGAUACGGCCCAGACUCCUACGGGAGGCAGCAGUGGGGAAUAUUGCACAAUGGGCGGAAGCCUGAUGCAGCAACGCCGCGUGCGGGAUGACGGCCUUCGGGUUGUAAACCGCUUUCGCCUGUGACGAAGCGUGAGUGACGGUAAUGGGUAAAGAAGCACCGGCUAACUACGUG
Molecule: ribosomal RNA, 469 nt
Filed under: uncultured bacterium
Lineage: Bacteria
Description: partial 16S ribosomal RNA
Rfam family: Bacterial small subunit ribosomal RNA
Source: RNAcentral